CGAAACCCGGUGAUCUAGCCAUGGGCAGGUUGAAGGUUGGGUAACACUAACUGGAGGACCGAACCGACUAAUGUUGAAAAAUUAGCGGAUGACUUGUGGCUGGGGGUGAAAGGCCAAUCAAACCGGGAGAUAGCUGGUUCUCCCCGAAAGCUAUUUAGGUAGCGCCUCGUGAAUUCAUCUCCGGGGGUAGAGCACUGUUUCGGCAAGGGGGUCAUCCCGACUUACCAACCCGAUGCAAACUGCGAAUACCGGAGAAUGUUAUCACGGGAGACACACGGCGGGUGCUAACGUCCGUCGUGAAGAGGGAAACAACCCAGACCGCCAGCUAAGGUCCCAAAGUCAUGGUUAAGUGGGAAACGAUGUGGGAAGGCCCAGACAGCCAGGAUGUUGGCUUAGAAGCAGCCAUCAUUUAAAGAAAGCGUAAUAGCUCACUGGUCGAGUCGGCCUGCGCGGAAGAUGUAACGGGGCUAAACCAUGCACCGAAGCUGCGGCAGCGACGCUGAUGCGUUGUUGGGUA
RNAcentral lists this ribosomal RNA (517 nucleotides) under Escherichia coli. Its description in RNAcentral is "partial 23S ribosomal RNA". It matches the Rfam family "Bacterial large subunit ribosomal RNA", at positions 716 to 1230 of the family's 2925-position model. The record is from RNAcentral. Lineage: Bacteria; Pseudomonadati; Pseudomonadota; Gammaproteobacteria; Enterobacterales; Enterobacteriaceae.